RNAcentral lists this ribosomal RNA (465 nucleotides) under Vreelandella stevensii. Its description in RNAcentral is "partial 16S ribosomal RNA". It matches the Rfam family "Bacterial small subunit ribosomal RNA", at positions 338 to 795 of the family's 1533-position model. Lineage: Bacteria; Pseudomonadati; Pseudomonadota; Gammaproteobacteria; Oceanospirillales; Halomonadaceae. The record is from RNAcentral.
CCUACGGGGGGCAGCAGUGGGGAAUAUUGGACAAUGGGGGCAACCCUGAUCCAGCCAUGCCGCGUGUGUGAAGAAGGCCCUCGGGUUGUAAAGCACUUUCAGUGAGGAAGAACGCCUGGUGGUUAAUACCCAUCAGGAAAGACAUCACUCACAGAAGAAGCACCGGCUAACUCCGUGCCAGCAGCCGCGGUAAUACGGAGGGUGCGAGCGUUAAUCGGAAUUACUGGGCGUAAAGCGCGCGUAGGUGGCUUGAUAAGCCGGUUGUGAAAGCCCCGGGCUCAACGUGGGAACGGCAUCCGGAACUGUCAAGCUAGAGUGCAGGAGAGGAAGGUAGAAUUCCCGGUGUAGAGGUGAAAUGCGUAGAGAUCGGGAGGAAUACCAGUGGCGAAGGCGGCCUUCUGGACUGACACUGACACUGAGGUGCGAAAGCGUGGGUAGCAAACAGGAUUAGAUACCCUUGUAGUC